RNAcentral lists this transfer RNA (73 nucleotides) under Corynebacterium pseudotuberculosis. RNAcentral's name for it is "tRNA-Gly". Lineage: Bacteria; Bacillati; Actinomycetota; Actinomycetes; Mycobacteriales; Corynebacteriaceae. The record is from RNAcentral.
CGCUCAGGUACGCUAGUACCCAUGGCGGUAACGCCACGGUGGAAUGGCCGAGUGGUGAGGCAACGGUCUGCAA